RNAcentral lists this ribosomal RNA (919 nucleotides) under Ascobolus sp. WF106. Its description in RNAcentral is "eukaryotic LSU rRNA". The stretch from base 311 to 919 matches the Rfam family "Eukaryotic large subunit ribosomal RNA", at positions 1 to 610 of the family's 3401-position model. The record is from RNAcentral. Lineage: Eukaryota; Fungi; Ascomycota; Pezizomycetes; Pezizales; Ascobolaceae.
CGGAUCUCUAGGUUCUCGCAUCGAUGAAGAACGCAGCGAAAUGCGAUAAGUAGUGUGAAUUGCAGAUUUCAGUGAAUCAUCGAAUCUUUGAACGCACAUUGCGCCCUUUGGUAACCCUUGGGCAUGCCUGUUUGAGAGUCAAACUCUGGCCGUCACCCUCUAAGCUGAGAUGACGAGUUUGGGAAAAGAGGUUAAGUCCUCUUCCUAUAAGUGAUGGGCGAUACAUUUUCACCUUGUAGGACGUAGUAAUGCAAUUCUCGUUGAAGCAAGUUGAAGAAGCUGCCUAUUAAACAAAUUUAUAAGCUCUCAUUGACCUCACAUCAGGUAGGGAUACCCCCUGAACUUAAGCAUAUCAAUAAGGGGAGGAAAAGAAACCAACAGGGAUUGCCUUAGUAACGGCGAGUGAAGCGGCAAAAGCUCAAAUUUGAAAUCGGAAAGUCUUGCGACCUCCGAGUUGUAGUUUGUAGAGGUGACUUUGGGUAUACGGCCAGGUCUAUGUUCCUUGGAACAGGACGUCAUGGAGGGUGAGAAUCCCGUAAAUGGCUUGGCUAGUGCCUAUGUAUAGCGCCUUCAACGAGUCGAGUUGUUUGGGAAUGCAGCUCUAAGCGGGUGGUAAAUUCCAUCUAAAGCUAAAUAUUGGCGAGAGACCGAUAGCGUACAAGUAGAGUGAUCGAAAGGUGAAAAGCACUCCGGAAGGAGAGUUAAACAGCACGUGAAAUUGUUGAAAGGGAAGCGCUUGAGACCAGACUCAGGUAAAGUUGAUCAACCUCCAUUCUUGGUGGUGCACUCUUCUUUGCCCGGGCCAGCAACAGUUUUGGCGGUGGUAUAAAGGUUUAGGAAAUGUGGCUCUCAUUUUGGGAGUGUUAUAGUCCUAUGCGUAAUGCUGCCUGCUGAGACUGAGGACCGCGCUCCGGCUAGG